AUGAAGGUCAUACUUAGAGCAAACACCCUGGAGAGGCUGCAGGAGAGAACGAGCCACAUUGAGGGAAAUGCCACCGGGCCUGCUGCCCUCUGCUCGCCCACGGCCACGUCCAGAGCUGGCCGGGGGACGGCGGAUCCAUCCCCGCCAUUGCCGAGCCGUCUCAUCCCUCACCCCGUGUUAUUCCUAAUCCCGCCUCACCCCUCACACCGCUUCACCCAUCCCGCCUCACCCCUCACACCGCUUCAUCCAUCCCGCCUCACACCGCUUCAUCCAUCCCGCCCCACACCGCUCCAUCCAUCCCGCCUCAUCCCUCACACCGCUCCAUCCAUCCCGCCUCACCCCUCACACCCCUUCAUCCAUCCGGCCCCACACCGCUUCAUCCAUCCCGCCUCAUCCCUCACACCGCUCCAUCCAUCCCGCCUCACCCCUCACACCCCUUCAUCCAUCCGGCCCCACACCGCUUCAUCCAUCCCGCCUCAUCCCUCACACCGCUCCAUCCAUCCCGCCUCACCCCUCACACCCCUUCAUCCAUCCGGCCCCACACCGCUUCAUCCAUCCCGCCUCAUCCCUCACACCGCUCCAUCCAUCCCGCCUCACCCCUCACACCCCUUCAUCCAUCCGGCCCCACACCGCUUCAUCCAUCCCGCCUCAUCCCUCACACCGCUCCAUCCAUCCCGCCUCACCCCUCACACCCCUUCAUCCAUCCGGCCCCACACCGCUUCAUCCAUCCCGCCUCAUCCCUCACACCGCUCCAUCCAUCCCGCCUCACCCCUCACACCACUUCAUCCAUCCGGCCCCACACCGCUUCAUCCAUCCCGCCUCAUCCCUCACACCGCUCCAUCCAUCCUGCCCCACACCGCUCCCCCCCCCCCCCCCCCCCCCCCCCCCCCCCCCCCCCCCCCCCCCCCCCCCCCCCCCCCCCCCCCCCCCCCCCCCCCCCCCCCCCCCCCCCCCCCCCCCCCCCCCCCCCCCCCCCCCCCCCCCCCCACACCGCUUCAUCCAUCCCGCCUCACCCCUCACACCGCUUCAUCCAUCCCGCCUCACACCGCUUCAUCCAUCCCGCCCCACACCGCCUCAUCCAUCCCGCCUCACACCGCUCCAUCCAUCAUCCCUCAUCCCGUCUCAUUCCGCUUUCUCUCACACCGCCUCAUCCAGCUCUACUCCUCACACCGCUCCAUCCCUCAUUUCGCUUCAUCCCUCUUUAAUCCUCACCCUCCUCACACCCCUCAGGCCGCCUCACCCCGCCCCCCGCCCCGCUUCAUCCAUCCCGCCUCACCCCUCACACAGCUUCAUCCAUCCCACCUCACCCCUCACACCGCUCCAUCCCUCAUCCCGUCUCAUUCCGCUUUCUCUCACACCGCCUCAUCCAGCUUUACUCCUCACACCGCUCCAUCCCUCAUUUCGCCUCAUCCCUCUUUACUCCUCACCCUCCUCACACCCCUCAGGCCGCCUCACCCCGCCCCCCGCCGGUUGCCAGGGAGCCGCCGUUGCCAUGGGAGGCGGCGGCGCGCAUGCGCCCGCCCGCGGGAGUGCCCGGAUGCAGCGGGAGGAGGCGCUGCCGCCAUAUUUGCCCGGAGAGCAGCGAGCUGGUAG
Molecule: long non-coding RNA, 1593 nt
Filed under: Ficedula albicollis (Collared flycatcher)
Lineage: Eukaryota; Metazoa; Chordata; Aves; Passeriformes; Muscicapidae
Description: lncRNA (ENSFALG00000027614.1)
Source: RNAcentral